RNAcentral lists this ribosomal RNA (800 nucleotides) under Streptomyces sp. RNAcentral describes it as "bacterial SSU rRNA". It matches the Rfam family "Bacterial small subunit ribosomal RNA", at positions 63 to 878 of the family's 1533-position model. Lineage: Bacteria; Bacillati; Actinomycetota; Actinomycetes; Kitasatosporales; Streptomycetaceae. The record is from RNAcentral.
CGAACGAUGAACCACUUCGGUGGGGAUUAGUGGCGAACGGGUGAGUAACACGUGGGCAAUCUGCCCUUCACUCUGGGACAAGCCCUGGAAACGGGGUCUAAUACCGGAUAACACUCCCUCCCUCCUGGGUGGGGGUUAAAAGCUCCGGCGGUGAAGGAUGAGCCCGCGGCCUAUCAGCUUGUUGGUGAGGUAAUGGCUCACCAAGGCGACGACGGGUAGCCGGCCUGAGAGGGCGACCGGCCACACUGGGACUGAGACACGGCCCAGACUCCUACGGGAGGCAGCAGUGGGGAAUAUUGCACAAUGGGCGAAAGCCUGAUGCAGCGACGCCGCGUGAGGGAUGACGGCCUUCGGGUUGUAAACCUCUUUCAGCAGGGAAGAAGCGAAAGUGACGGUACCUGCAGAAGAAGCGCCGGCUAACUACGUGCCAGCAGCCGCGGUAAUACGUAGGGCGCAAGCGUUGUCCGGAAUUAUUGGGCGUAAAGAGCUCGUAGGCGGCUUGUCACGUCGGGUGUGAAAGCCCGGGGCUUAACCCCGGGUCUGCAUUCGAUACGGGCUAGCUAGAGUGUGGUAGGGGAGAUCGGAAUUCCUGGUGUAGCGGUGAAAUGCGCAGAUAUCAGGAGGAACACCGGUGGCGAAGGCGGAUCUCUGGGCCAUUACUGACGCUGAGGAGCGAAAGCGUGGGGAGCGAACAGGAUUAGAUACCCUGGUAGUCCACGCCGUAAACGGUGGGAACUAGGUGUUGGCGACAUUCCACGUCGUCGGUGCCGCAGCUAACGCAUUAAGUUCCCCGCCUGGGG